GGGGACGACAUGGUUUCGACGGGAUGUAUGGAUGGCAUAGGGUGCAGGCGGAGGCUGGAACAUCCUCCAAAAUCAGGUUCCAAAAACACAAGUGCCAAUAGCACUUAUGCUCUCGCUGCCUAAGUAAUUAGGUAGCCUGCCCUCCCCGGCCGGGGCGCAGCGGCCGAGGAUGCGGCAUCAACUCCCUGCGCUGGCGUGCGGCAGGCCGCGGUCCGCACGCGAGAUCAUGCGGCUGGCUUCCCCAAGCUUUGUCGCUGGUGCGACCGGGGAGCGAGACCCAAUCCAGCGAAGAAGCCUGUGAUACCCGGUGUGGUCCGCUUCUCGGACGCGGGUUCGAUUCCCGCCGUCUCCACGA
RNAcentral lists this transfer-messenger RNA (355 nucleotides) under bacterium. RNAcentral describes it as "JAHJDG01 sp018812265 Standard tmRNA". It matches the Rfam family "transfer-messenger RNA". Rfam says of the family: Bacterial tmRNA, also known as 10Sa RNA or SsrA, is named for its dual tRNA and mRNA-like properties. Its role is to liberate the mRNA from a stalled ribosome. The record is from RNAcentral.